UGCCCGCCGCGAGGGCAUCAAGGCAAGGAGCUGGCGCGGGUUAGCGCGGGCGGGCUGGAUCGGCACGGCCUGGCACGGCCUGCCUCGCCCCCCCCCCCUCCGGCACGGCGGUGCCCGUAGAGACCGGGGCCGGGCUGACCCUGAGCCGCGAGCUUGGCCUGUUGCAUCCUAGGCUCAGCGUGCUGCCCCGGACCGUGCUAGCGGCUGGCACAGCUCGGCACAGCCCGGGCUGGCUUGGCACAGCCCGGCCCGGCCCGGCUCAUUGAAGUUUGGUCUGAGGUUGGCCAUAAGCAAAAGGUGGAGCUGGUCCCUAACAAAGUCCAUUUCAUGAAAACUCUCAGCUUGAAACCGCUUCUUUUUGGUAAGACACAAGGCCCCGCACAAAACCUGCUCACACGGUAGCUGAAAUCCCAUUGGUAUUUUAAUCCACACUGCAGUCUGGAUAUAUUUGUGGCCAUUAUGGGCCCCAAGCCAAUAAAGAGAGAGCACUGGAGUUAUGGUAAUUCAGCAUCUGGUUGAUACAAUUA
Molecule: non-coding RNA, 527 nt
Organism: Chrysemys picta bellii (western painted turtle)
Lineage: Eukaryota; Metazoa; Chordata; Testudines; Emydidae
Source: RefSeq, a predicted model, not a curated record